CUUGACAUACACCGGAAAACCCUGGAGACAGGGUCCCCCUUGUGGUCGGUGUACAGGUGGUGCAUGGCUGUCGUCAGCUCGUGUCGUGAGAUGUUGGGUUAAGUCCCGCAACGAGCGCAACCCUUGUUCUGUGUUGCCAGCAUGCCUUUCGGGGUGAUGGGGACUCACAGGAGACUGCCGGGGUCAACUCGGAGGAAGGUGGGGACGACGUCAAGUCAUCAUGCCCCUUAUGUCUUGGGCUGCACACGUGCUACAAUGGCCGGUACAAUGAGCUGCGAUACCGUGAGGUGGAGCGAAUCUCAAAAAGCCGGUCUCAGUUCGGAUUGGGGUCUGCAACUCGACCCCAUGAAGUCGGAGUCGCUAGUAAUCGCAGAUCAGCAUUGCUGCGGUGAAUACGUUCCCGGGCCUUGUACACACCGCCCGUCACGUCACGAAAGUCGGUAACACCCGAAGCCGGUGGCCCAACCCUUGUGG
RNAcentral lists this ribosomal RNA (474 nucleotides) under Streptomyces sp. Its description in RNAcentral is "bacterial SSU rRNA". It matches the Rfam family "Bacterial small subunit ribosomal RNA", at positions 980 to 1446 of the family's 1533-position model. Lineage: Bacteria; Bacillati; Actinomycetota; Actinomycetes; Kitasatosporales; Streptomycetaceae. The record is from RNAcentral.